Molecule: long non-coding RNA, 2252 nt
Filed under: Homo sapiens (human)
Lineage: Eukaryota; Metazoa; Chordata; Mammalia; Primates; Hominidae
Description: non-protein coding lnc-SLC2A10-1:1
Source: RNAcentral
CAUUCGCCUCUAAGCUGAUAGCUCUUACGGAUCUGCUCCUCAGGGACCCCACCCAUCUCCUAGUUAACCAAUAAGAGCACCCCACCCCCACCAUCCCAGCAACAAUGAUUGGUUCAGGAAUGAGGGCGUGGCCAAAGCUAAGCCAACCAAAGCCAGUGAUACUGGAUUCUGGGACUAAUUUUUAAAUUUCUUAAGAAAAACUCUUCGUACUGGAUUGCUGAGAGAAUGGGAUGUAAGGUCUGAACUCAUGUCUGCCUUCAUGCUACCAGCAAAGAGAACCUUGAAACCAAGUGCCCUGUAUCCAGUAGGUGCUUAAUAGUAGUUUAUCGAGUGAAGGAAAUAAUGGGGAAAACAUCUGCCAAUGCAAGUAGUGCCAGUGCAAUGAUUCAAAGUGGUACUAAGUGCCCCCUGGAGAGGGCUGCAUACACAUGCAAUUCCAAGUCUAAGAAUGUAUCUCACAGAUACAUUUGCACAUGGACCCAUAUCAGUGUUACGGUGAAAGGUUGGACAGGUUAUGCACUGCCCAACAUUAGUGUGCACCAUUCACAUCAGGCGGGACAGAGUGGGAGAAGAUAACUUUGCUGUAAACCUUUGUGCCCUGUGUGAUUUUUUUUUUACCAUGAUCAUAUAUAGUUUCUUCAGAAGAAAAAUUUUUAUAUCAAAGCCGAAACUGUGCAUUUACAUUUCUUUAUACAUUGCUUGGCACAUCAGUGCUCAAUAUGUAUCAGCUGUAUCAGCAGCCAUCAUUAUUGUUAUUUUUUAAGCUGUUUUGAAAACCUUACGGUGUUAUUACACCAUGGAGACACACGAGGGCGCGCCAGGCAUCUAUUUAAAAAGUGUUUUCAUAGCAGUUCGUGGAGGCUGUAAUUUUGAGUGUGUACAGGAGAUGGGGGAAAAAGUCUUGGGGGUCCCGUGUGGGUGACAAGGGCAAGUCUUAGUUCCAACUUGGUCCAGUCUGCCAGCCUUGUCAAUGAAAUACCAGGACUCCCUUCCUGAGUGCUCCAUAGUGGAAUCAGGGUGAGCGUCCACUCUUUGCAAGUCCUUAGAGGAGAGAGCUGGCUGAGCCGGAGGACUGGCCCGGGGAGCCCCUGCUGCACCCGGACCUGUGUUCUCAUCUGUGCAGCAGAAACAAUCAAACCCACCUGCAGGGCUAUCGUGAGAUUAAGCAGGGUCUCUCAGAGAUCAAAAGAAGCCCGAACUACUUUCUAGAGUGAAGAACUGGAAAGAAGAGAGAGAGAGAAGGAAAAGAAAGCCUCAAACAAUCACCAAGAUUGAAGUCACUCUCACAAGGUUAAAUUUUACAACUCACCCCUCUGCCUCAUAUACACGGCAACCUAACAGUGCCAGGCAGAGAUGGUGGGAUUUAUUUUAAAACAGUAACUUAUAUGGUCUGAUAGAAGGACCCAAGCUUGGCCGGGCGCGGUGGCUCACGCCUGUAUUCCCAGCACUUUGGGAGGCUGAGGCGGGUGGAUCACGAGGUCAGGAGUUUGAGACCAGCCUGGCCAACAUGGUGAAACCCCGUCUCUACUAAAAAUACACAAAUUAGCCGGGCGUGGCGGCGCGCGCCUGUAAUCCCAGCUACUCAGGAGGCUGAGGCAGGAGAAUUGCUUGAACCCUGGAGGCGGAAGCUGCAGUGAGCGGAGAUAGCACCACUGCACUCCAGCCUGGGUGACAGAGCGAGACUCCGUGUCAAAAAAAAAAAAAAAAAGAAAAGAAAAAGAAGGACCCAAGCUUAAUAAUUUCUUUCUGACCCCUUCUGCUAUCAGUUCUGGCGGUGCUUCUCCGUGAUUUGGGUAUAAGCUUAUUCGAUAAGGUUAUACAUAUACUCAUAAGAUAAUACACAAAAGCAUAUGCAGAGGGCUGCGGCAGACAGAUUGCUGGUCUACUGGAAAGCCAGCUCCCCUUCUUGGCUAAGAGAGUGCCCAAUGUGUUCCAUGCACGGCGGAUGACAAUGUGCCCAAUGGAGAGAUGCUUCAGCCCCAGCCCCAGGGCAUCCAUUGCGAUUGGGCUAAGUCAUUCCUUUCCGCCAGCAAUUGCUUUAUAGGCAGGCAGAUGCCCUGGUUCUGGCCACAGAGACACAAGUGGAUGUCUCCUGGGAGCUUCUGAAACAGAGUUUUUGUGUGUGUGUGAUAAGAUAGAGACACUUGAGAAACUUCUCUCCUGUUGGUCUUAUCUUUGGAUGUUGUCAGAACGUUUGGAGCUGCAGCAGCCAUCUUGUGACCACAAGGGAAAGACCAAGGGAAUUGUAGAGA